RNAcentral lists this long non-coding RNA (342 nucleotides) under Mytilus galloprovincialis (Mediterranean mussel). The record is from RNAcentral. Lineage: Eukaryota; Metazoa; Mollusca; Bivalvia; Mytilida; Mytilidae.
GUCUCACGCUAAAGUGCGAUGGUUGGUUGUUCGCUUAAGUACGAUGGUGUAUCGCAAUGGUCCAAAGGGUAAGAUUCGAGGGAUUAAAACAUCGAAAUUCAAAAAAGAUUUUGCAAAAGCUAUUAUGCUAAGAUAUAACAUAUGUGAUAGGCUUUACCACUUAUCGAUAGGCUGAAGUGAUUGUUUCUAAAUUAACAAGUCCGACCAAGAAAUAAUUGCUAAAAAGGUAAUUUAUGUUUUGCAAGAUAUCAAAUAUUUCAUGUAAAAUAAAUUUUUAACAAUUCGGAGCGUAUUGAAUAUUUGGAUAAUUGGUGUAGCUCGCCGUUCACACUAAUGUUACAA